RNAcentral lists this ribosomal RNA (394 nucleotides) under uncultured bacterium. Its description in RNAcentral is "bacterial SSU rRNA". It matches the Rfam family "Bacterial small subunit ribosomal RNA", at positions 30 to 417 of the family's 1533-position model. The record is from RNAcentral.
AUUGAACGCUGGCGGCAUGCCUAACACAUGCAAGUCGAACGGCAGCACAGUGUGUAGCAAUACACAUGGGUGGCGAGUGGCGGACGGGUGAGGAAUACAUAGGAAUCUGCCUUGUAGCGGGGGAUAGUCCGGGGAAACUCGGGGUAAUACCGCAUACGACCUACGGGUGAAAGAGGGGGAUCGUAAGACCUCUCACUAUAAGAUGAGCCUAUGUCCGAUUAGCAGUUGGUGGGGUAAAGGCCUACCAAGGCGACGAUCGGUAGCUGGUCUGAGAGGACGACCAGCCACAUCGGAACUGAGACACGGUCCGAACUCCUACGGGAGGCAGCAGUGGGGAAUAUUGGACAAUGGGCGAAAGCCUGAUCCAGCAAUGCCGCGUGUGUGAAGAAGGCCU